UUAGAUAUACAAAUGAUUGCGGGCGACAUUGUCGCGUGAGGAAAGUCCGAGCAUCAUAGAGUAGGAUGGUAGUUAACGGCUACUGGGGGCGACCCUAAGGAAAGUGCAACAGAAAAGAAACAGCAUUGGUUAAUUCUAAUGCGAUAGGUGGAAUAAUAGUGUAAGAUACUAUUAAUUACAUGGGUGACUAUGUGAUUGUGUAAACCCCAUCCGAUGCAAGGUUAAGAGGCUUAACUGUUACUCGCAGGCUUCUUGUUUACACCGCUUGAAAUUGUUGGUGACAACAGUGCUAGAUAGAUAAUCAUUUAUAACAGAACUCGGCUUAUGUGUAUUCUAAUGUA
Molecule: RNase P RNA, 341 nt
Filed under: Clostridiales bacterium
Lineage: Bacteria; Bacillati; Bacillota; Clostridia; Eubacteriales
Description: RNase P RNA component class A
Rfam family: Bacterial RNase P class A
About the family: Ribonuclease P (RNase P) is a ubiquitous endoribonuclease, found in archaea, bacteria and eukarya as well as chloroplasts and mitochondria.
Source: RNAcentral